GAUUCAUGAUAACUUUACGAAUCGCAUGGCCUUGUGCCGGCGAUGGUUCAUUCAAAUUUCUGCCCUAUCAACUUUCGAUGGUAGGAUAGUGGCCUACCAUGGUUUCAACGGGUAACGGGGAAUUAGGGUUCGAUUCCGGAGAGGGAGCCUGAGAAACGGCUACCACAUCCAAGGAAGGCAGCAGGCGCGCAAAUUACCCAAUCCCGACACGGGGAGGUAGUGACAAUAAAUACUGAUACAGGGCCCUUUCGGGUCUUGUAAUUGGAAUGAGUACAAUUUAAAUCCAUUAACGAGGAACAAUUGGAGGGCAAGUCUGGUGCCAGCAGCCGCGGUAAUUCCAGCUCCAAUAGCGUAAUAUUAAAGUUGUUGCAGUUAAAAAGCUCGUAGUUGAACCUUGGGUCUGGGUGACUGGUCUCCCCUUACUGGGUGCACUGAAAACCCGGACCUUUCCCUUCUGGCAAACCUCCAUGCCCUUUACUGGGUGGUGUUGGGGAACCAGGACUUUUACAAGGGCGAAUUCCCCGCCCCC
This 529-nucleotide ribosomal RNA is filed under the name uncultured fungus. RNAcentral's name for it is "SSU rRNA". It matches the Rfam family "Eukaryotic small subunit ribosomal RNA", at positions 248 to 776 of the family's 1831-position model. The record is from RNAcentral. Lineage: Eukaryota; Fungi.